GAUGAACGCUGGCGGCGUGCCUAAUACAUGCAAGUCGAGCGAACAGAUAAGGAGCUUGCUCCUUUGACGUUAGCGGCGGACAGGUGAGUAACACGUGGGUAACCUACCUAUAAGACUGGGAUAACUUCGGGAAACCGGAGCUAAUACCGGAUAACAUUUGGAACCGCAUGGUUCUAAAGUGAAAGAUGGUUUUGCUAUCACUUAUAGAUGGACCCGCGCCGUAUUAGCUAGUUGGUAAGGUAACGGCUUACCAAGGCAACGAUACGUAGCCGACCUGAGAGGGUGAUCGGCCACACUGGAACUGAGACACGGUCCAGACUCCUACGGGAGGCAGCAGUAGGGAAUCUUCCGCAAUGGGCGAAAGCCUGACGGAGCAACGCCGCGUGAGUGAUGAAGGGUUUCGGCUCGUGAAACUCUGUUAUUAGGGAAGAACAAACGUGUAAGUAACUGUGCACGUCUUGACGGUACCUAAUCAGAAAGCCACGGCUAACUACGUG
RNAcentral lists this ribosomal RNA (497 nucleotides) under uncultured bacterium. RNAcentral's name for it is "partial 16S ribosomal RNA". It matches the Rfam family "Bacterial small subunit ribosomal RNA", at positions 28 to 507 of the family's 1533-position model. The record is from RNAcentral.